CCUACGGGAGGCUGCAGUGGGGAAUAUUGGGCAAUGGGCGCAAGCCUGACCCAGCAACGCCGCGUGAAGGAAGAAGGCUUUCGGGUUGUAAACUUCUUUUAAGAGGGAAGAGCAGAAGACGGUACCUCUUGAAUAAGCCACGGCUAACUACGUGCCAGCAGCCGCGGUAAUACGUAGGUGGCAAGCGUUGUCCGGAUUUACUGGGUGUAAAGGGCGUGCAGCCGGGAAGACAAGUCAGAUGUGAAAUCCCGCGGCUCAACCGCGGAACUGCAUUUGAAACUGUUUUUCUUGAGUACCGGAGAGGUCAUCGGAAUUCCUGGUGUAGCGGUGAAAUGCGUAGAUAUAAGGAAGAACACCAGUGGCGAAGGCAGAUGACUGGACGGCAACUGACGGUGAGGCGCGAAAGCGUGGGGAGCAAACAGGAUUAGAUACCCGAGUAGUC
RNAcentral lists this ribosomal RNA (442 nucleotides) under uncultured bacterium. RNAcentral's name for it is "partial 16S ribosomal RNA". It matches the Rfam family "Bacterial small subunit ribosomal RNA", at positions 338 to 795 of the family's 1533-position model. The record is from RNAcentral.